CCUACGGGUGGCUGCAGUGGGGAAUAUUGGACAAUGGGGGGAACCCUGAUCCAGCCAUGCCGCGUGUGUGAAGAAGGCCCUCGGGUUGUAAAGCACUUUCAGUGAGGAAGAACGCCUGGUGGUUAAUACCCAUCAGGAAAGACAUCACUCACAGAAGAAGCACCGGCUAACUCCGUGCCAGCAGCCGCGGUAAUACGGAGGGUGCGAGCGUUAAUCGGAAUUACUGGGCGUAAAGCGCGCGUAGGUGGCUUGAUAAACCGGUUGUGAAAGCCCCGGGCUCAACCUGGGAACGGCAUCCGGAACUGUCAAGCUAGAGUGCAGGAGAGGAAAGUAGAAUUCCCGGUGUAGCGGUGAAAUGCGUAGAGAUCGGGAGGAAUACCAGUGGCGAAGGCGGCCUUCUGGACUGACACUGACACUGAGGUGCGAAAGCGUGGGUAGCAAACAGGAUUAGAUACCCCAGUAGUC
Molecule: ribosomal RNA, 465 nt
Filed under: Vreelandella stevensii
Lineage: Bacteria; Pseudomonadati; Pseudomonadota; Gammaproteobacteria; Oceanospirillales; Halomonadaceae
Description: partial 16S ribosomal RNA
Rfam family: Bacterial small subunit ribosomal RNA
Source: RNAcentral